This is a non-coding RNA of Prunus avium (sweet cherry), 113 nucleotides long. The record is from RefSeq and is a predicted model, not a curated record. Lineage: Eukaryota; Viridiplantae; Streptophyta; Magnoliopsida; Rosales; Rosaceae.
UUGGACCAGAUUGACAAUCAACAGAAAAAACAGCUAUCUCUUGCUUCAUUCUCGGAAGGAGGUCAUAGUAAGGCAGUCUGUAGAUAAAGCAGAGUUUCAGGAUUCGAGUGUUG